GUACGGGAAGGAUGAGAAGCUUCGACUAAGGUUCGAUUCGAGCGUCAGCGAGAAAGCGUUGCCGCAGGCAACGACCCGAAGGGCGAAGCGCGCAGCGCUGAGUAAUCCUUCCCCCACCACCA
This 122-nucleotide small RNA is filed under the name Citrobacter portucalensis. Its description in RNAcentral is "RtT RNA". It matches the Rfam family "RtT RNA", at positions 15 to 130 of the family's 130-position model. From Rfam's summary of the family: This family represents a bacterial cis-regulatory element known as RtT RNA. The exact function of RtT is unknown although it is thought that it may be involved in changing the cellular response in relation to amino acid starvation. Lineage: Bacteria; Pseudomonadati; Pseudomonadota; Gammaproteobacteria; Enterobacterales; Enterobacteriaceae. The record is from RNAcentral.